This 72-nucleotide transfer RNA is filed under the name Camelus bactrianus (Bactrian camel). It matches the Rfam family "tRNA". From Rfam's summary of the family: Transfer RNA (tRNA) molecules are approximately 80 nucleotides in length. Their secondary structure includes four short double-helical elements and three loops (D, anti-codon, and T loops). Further hydrogen bonds mediate the characteristic L-shaped molecular structure. tRNAs have two regions of fundamental functional importance: the anti-codon, which is responsible for specific mRNA codon recognition, and the 3' end, to which the tRNAs corresponding amino acid is attached (by aminoacyl-tRNA synthetases). tRNAs cope with the degeneracy of the genetic code in two manners: having more than one tRNA (with a specific anti-codon) for a particular amino acid; and 'wobble' base-pairing, i.e. permitting non-standard base-pairing at the 3rd anti-codon position. Lineage: Eukaryota; Metazoa; Chordata; Mammalia; Artiodactyla; Camelidae. The record is from Rfam by way of RNAcentral. RNAcentral also lists the same sequence under 2 other names.
GAGGGUAUAGCUCAGUGGCAGAGUACGUGCCUAGCAUGCACAAGGUCCUGGGUUCAGUCCUCAGUACUGCCC